GACGAACGCUGGCGGCGUGCUUAACACAUGCAAGUCGAACGGAAGGCCCUGCUUUUGUGGGGUGCUCGAGUGGCGAACGGGUGAGUAACACGUGAGUAACCUGCCCUUGACUUUGGGAUAACUUCAGGAAACUGGGGCUAAUACCGGAUAGGAGCUCCUGCUGCAUGGUGGGGGUUGGAAAGUUUCGGCGGUUGGGGAUGGACUCGCGGCUUAUCAGCUUGUUGGUGGGGUAGUGGCGUACCAAGGCUUUGACGGGUAGCCGGCCUGAGAGGGUGACCGGCGACGGUGGGACUGAGAUACGGCCCAGACGGGUACGGGAGGCAGCAGUGGGGAAUAUUGCACAAUGGGCGGAAGCCUGAUGCAGCAACGCCGCGUGCGGGAUGACGGCCUUCGGGGUGGAAACCGCUUUCGCCUGUGACGAAGCGUGAGUGACGGUAAUGGGUAAAGAAGCACCGGCUAACUACGUG
Molecule: ribosomal RNA, 467 nt
Filed under: uncultured bacterium
Lineage: Bacteria
Description: partial 16S ribosomal RNA
Rfam family: Bacterial small subunit ribosomal RNA
Source: RNAcentral